AACGCUAGCUACAGGCUUAACACAUGCAAGUCGAGGGGCAGCAUUUUAGUUUGCUUGCAAACUAAAGAUGGCGACCGGCGCACGGGUGAGUAACACGUAUCCAACCUGCCGAUAACUCGGGGAUAGCCUUUCGAAAGAAAGAUUAAUAUCCGAUGGUAUAUUAAAACCGCAUGGUUUUACUAUUAAAGAAUUUCGGUUAUCGAUGGGGAUGCGUUCCAUUAGUUUGUUGGCGGGGUAACGGCCCACCAAGACUACGAUGGAUAGGGGUUCUGAGAGGAAGGUCCCCCACAUUGGAACUGAGACACGGUCCAAACUCCUACGGGAGGCAGCAGUGAGGAAUAUUGGUCAAUGGACGAGAGUCUGAACCAGCCAAGUAGCGUGAAGGAUGACUGCCCUAUGGGUUGUAAACUUCUUUUAUAUGGGAAUAAAGUAUUCCACGUGUGGGAUUUUGUAUGUACCAUAUGAAUAAGGAUCGGCUAACUCCGUGCCAGCAGCCGCGGUAAUACGGAGGAUCCGAGCGUUAUCCGGAUUUAUUGGGUUUAAAGGGAGCGUAGGUGGAUUGUUAAGUCAGUUGUGAAAGUUUGCGGCUCAACCGUAAAAUUGCAGUUGAAACUGGCAGUCUUGAGUACAGUAGAGGUGGGCGGAAUUCGUGGUGUAGCGGUGAAAUGCUUAGAUAUCACGAAGAACUCCGAUUGA
RNAcentral lists this ribosomal RNA (696 nucleotides) under uncultured Bacteroides sp. Its description in RNAcentral is "bacterial SSU rRNA". It matches the Rfam family "Bacterial small subunit ribosomal RNA", at positions 32 to 716 of the family's 1533-position model. Lineage: Bacteria; Pseudomonadati; Bacteroidota; Bacteroidia; Bacteroidales; Bacteroidaceae. The record is from RNAcentral.